GAUGAACGCUGGCGGCGUGCCUAAUACAUGCAAGUCGAGCGAACAGAUGAGGAGCUUGCUCCUCUGACGUUAGCGGCGGACGGGUGAGUAACACGUGGAUAACCUACCUAUAAGACUGGGAUAACUUCGGUAAACCGGAGCUAAUACCGGAUAAUAUAUUGAACCGCAUGGUUCAAUAGUGAAAGACGGUUUUGCUGUCACUUAUAGAUGGAUCCGCGCCGCAUUAGCUAGUUGGUAAGGUAACGGCUUACCAAGGCAACGAUGCGUAGCCGACCUGAGAGGGUGAUCGGCCACACUGGAAAUGAGACACGGUCCAGACUCCUACGGGAGGCAGCAGUAGGGAAUCUUCCGCAAUGGGCGAAAGCCUGACGGAGCAACGCCGCGUGAGUGAUGAAGGUCUUCGGAUCGUAAAACUCUGUUAUUAGGGAAGAACAAAUGUGUAAGUAACUAUGCACGUCUUGACGGUACCUAAUCAGAAAGCCACGGCUAACUACGUG
Molecule: ribosomal RNA, 497 nt
Filed under: uncultured bacterium
Lineage: Bacteria
Description: partial 16S ribosomal RNA
Rfam family: Bacterial small subunit ribosomal RNA
Source: RNAcentral